CUACGGGCCGCUCCAGUGAGGAAUAUUGCACAAUGGGGGGAACCCUGAUGCAGCAACGCCGCGUGGAGGAUGACGCAUUUCGGUGUGUAAACUCCUUUUAUAUGUCAAGAAAAUGACGGUAGCAUAUGAAUAAGCACCGGCUAACUCCGUGCCAGCAGCCGCGGUAAUACGGCGGGUGCAAGCGUUACUCGGAAUCACUGGGCGUAAAGGACGCGUAGGCGGGUUGGAAAGUCGGGUGUGAAAUCCUACAGCUUAACUGUAGAACUGCACUUGAAACUUCUAAUCUAGAGUAUGGGAGGGGGAGAUGGAAUUAGUGGUGUAGGGGUAAAAUCCGUAGAUAUCACUAGGAAUACCUAAAGCGAAGGCGAUCUCCUGGAACAUUACUGACGCUAAGGCGUGAAAGCGUGGGGAGCAAACAGGAUUAGAUACCCCAGUAGUC
RNAcentral lists this ribosomal RNA (439 nucleotides) under uncultured bacterium. RNAcentral describes it as "partial 16S ribosomal RNA". It matches the Rfam family "Bacterial small subunit ribosomal RNA", at positions 339 to 795 of the family's 1533-position model. The record is from RNAcentral.